UACGUAGGUGGCAAGCGUUGUCCGGAAUUAUUGGGCGUAAAGCGCGCGCAGGCGGUUCUUUAAGUCUGAUGUGAAAGCCCACGGCUCAACCGUGGAGGGUCAUUGGAAACUGGAGAACUUGAGUACAGAAGAGGAAAGCGGAAUUCCACGUGUAGCGGUGAAAUGCGUAGAGAUGUGGAGGAACACCAGUGGCGAAGGCGGCUUUCUGGGCCGUAACUGACGCUGAGGAGCGAAAGCAUGGGGAGCGAACAGG
RNAcentral lists this ribosomal RNA (253 nucleotides) under uncultured bacterium. RNAcentral describes it as "partial 16S ribosomal RNA". It matches the Rfam family "Bacterial small subunit ribosomal RNA", at positions 524 to 776 of the family's 1533-position model. The record is from RNAcentral.